AUAAAAUGAAGAACAGCCUCAGGACAUAAAAAUAAAACAAAUCUCCUUAAGCAACUCCCGACUGAGCGAUCCUGACUGGAUGGUCACGGGGUAUCUAUCAUGCUUAAACUCCGGUAAAUAAAUCCACACCUGUAUGAGAAAACUUAAACCCACACUAUGUGAGAUGAAAAUAUUCUUUACUAGAUACACACAAGACAUGGUUGUGACCGUUUUUCUAAAAUUAACCUAUGUGGCUGAAAGUGGCUAAAAACGCAAGAUAUGGCUAAGACCCCGCAAAGCCAAGAACCUAAGAUUUACUAGGAAUAUCGUACCCUAUGUGGGUUGCCUACGUAUCCCGCCCCGAAAGAUGAGAAUCAAGUUUGCUUAGUUCGGGCAGAUUGGAUACGAGCGAGAAUAAUAAAAAAACCACUAAUUCAUAGAAAUCACAUUUUUUCUUUCUUUUUCUUGAAAAAUGAUGAAACAUGCAAAACCUUUUUGGAUUUUCGUUUUUUUCGAUUUUUGAAAAAUGAUAAAGAGUGCAAAAUCUUUUUGAAUUUUCAUGCUCUUUUUCCUUAAUAAAAUGUAACAAAAAUAUAAUUGGGCCAUACUCGCUUUAUCCUCACACUUCAACCUCUCUCUUUUCUUUUCUUUUCCUCUUCUUUCUGUUUUUCAUUGUUUUUGUUUUUUUUUCUUCAUUUACCCUCAGCUAUCAUUGGUCCGCCAAAUGACCCUUUUACCCUUGAAUAAAUGCAACAUGUAGCACAUAAGAUGCAUCAGGAUGGUCUUUUAUUUUUUGGGGUAUACCUGCCCUAGACGGACUCAACCCCUAUGUUGAGUCUCCAAAGUCAAAUGCACAUGAUGCAAACAAACGUUCCUACUAGGGAUCCGACAUGAGGCUAUGUUUUUCUAGGUUUAAAAACCUGGGUUUAUUUGUUCUAGACUUGGCUUACCCGAGCGGACAACUCGAGCCGGGGGGGUGAGGGGGGGCAGCAUACCGUGAAUACAAAAGCUUCAUCGGCUUUGCAACUUGUCCGAACCUCGUUCUAAAUUUGGGAUAUGACUCUAACAGAAAAGAAGUCACACGAAGUGCACACUUCUUCAUGAUUUAGGAGACUCAGAGAGAAGAGGGAUUUCGCCACAGUUUAUAUAUAGUUCACGGAAUAUCAAAGAGGUAAAAGCAACCAAUUAGCACAUAAGGCCCAAAUCAUAUAACAAAAUUAGAUAAUGGAUAAAGCCAACUAUAAUAAUUAUUCUAAGCUCGAAUUCUUGAACCCUGAACCAGAGAUUCUGGGUUCGAUCCCUAGCAGAGUCGCCAGAGCUGUCACACCUCCUUUUUACCUUACACCCCCGGAAAAGGAUGUAUAAAAGAGAGUUUUUCCAAUUAAAGGACAAUCGAAACGGGAUUUAUUUUAAACGAUUCAGAGUCUCCACUUGGGAGAUUUAUGGUGUCCCAAGUCACCGGUUCAAAUCCCGAGUCGAGGAAAGGGUUGACUCUGUUUAACAGUCCGCGAACCAAAAAUCCGGGUAAGGAAUUCUGUUAACCCGGGAGAAGGUGUUAGGCAUUUCCGAGUUCCAUGGUUCUAGCACGGUCGCUCAACUGCUAUAUUUGGCUUAAUUAUCUGAUUUUAAACAAUUAUGAACCUACGUGCAUUUUAACUUUCAACCGCUUUAUUUCAUUUUUUAGAGAAAAUUGCAACGUUAUUAAAACACAUCUCGAACCACGUCACAUAAAUGCGCCCGUGGUCUUGACAUAUUUUAACAUCAUUGAGAUUUGGAUCGGGUCACAUGAAAUGCACACCCGAAUUUAGUAUUUACAAAUCACAACUACGUCACGGGAACCGUACCCGCAGCCAUGAUAAUUAUUUAAUUAAUGCCUAAAGCAAGUAGCGCAUUUAAUUAUUUUCCGAUCUACUCUAAAAUUUGUUGUAAGGACCAGUUUUACGAGUAGCCAUCAUAUAACAUUGUUAUUGAGCAUGAUAACGUCAACUUUGUAUCAACAACCAUUGCACCAUCGACUAAAAGAAAAACCUAGAAAUCUGUUGUUUAAAAUCACAAUAUAAAAUCGACCUGUCCAUUAACCAUAAUUUGAUCAAAGCAUGCAACUUAAGGAUAUUUGAAUAACAAAAAGAUAAUCCAGCAGAAAAAGAACCCACUAAUUUAAACUGAAUCAUUUUUAUAGAAAGCACAUUAUAUACCUCUAUUAUCAAUUUGUUGGAAUGACAUGAAACUUCAUAGGGACAAAUACGUACACAACUUAACAACCAUUAAAAGAUAAGAGUGACCAUUGUACUCUAAGUAAUUUUCAAUGAGUCAAAGUUAUAAGGAUCGAAAUUUUCAACAGAGAAACAUUUAUCUUGAUGAACAACAACAAUCAAAAUGAAGCUAAAUCCAGCUUCUGAAUCCAUGAAAAAAAUGAAAGCCAAAUAGCAGAGAAAGAAACCAACUGACCGGAACAUUUUUCGACGACCUCGACGGAACUACGACCAGAACGAAACCAGCAUCACCUCGACGUACGACCGGAAUGCCUGAGUUUACAGCAACGUCAAGUUUCAGCAGCUCAAGCUCGACGGAAAAAAAUGGACAGCGAUAACCAUAGACCGGAACCAACGUACGAUAACUCCCACACGACUCGAACUCACAAACGACUCCAAACUUCAGCUGCCUUACGAUCGUUACCUCACUCCAUUCAUGUGUGUGACUGUGUGCGUGCGAAGGUGAAGCUCGUCAGAUAUGGCGUCGCUGGAAAAAGCUCUGGCGGGUCAAGGUCGACGAGAUGGGUGGUGGAGAGCUGGUUGUUGGGUCGUUUUGCUAGGGUGGGGUCGUCGGAAGCUGCUGGUGUGAGGUCGCUUGGUUCUACUUGUCGCGUUCGGAACUCGUUACUCUGACGGGCAGGUGGAGCUCGUUUUUCCAGCGAGUUUUAGGCAGAUACGAGGUCGUUGGUGUUUUCUCUGGCGAGCUAGGUUGUUCCCGGUUUUGGGGGCUGUUGGUCGAAGAAGAAGAACGGGAAAGGGGUCGUUGGAGAAGAAAACGUGAAGGGGUGGGGGUUGCUCGUUUGUGCGCAGCCUUUUUUAGCUGCUACUUUUUCGUUCCUUUCGUUAUUUUUGUUCCCUUUUUUGGCGUUGA
This 3102-nucleotide long non-coding RNA is filed under the name Nicotiana tabacum (common tobacco). RNAcentral's name for it is "long non-coding RNA (NTAB_LNC018365)". The record is from RNAcentral. Lineage: Eukaryota; Viridiplantae; Streptophyta; Magnoliopsida; Solanales; Solanaceae.